GACGAACGCUGGCGGCGUGCUUAACACAUGCAAGUCGUACGGUAAGGCCCUUUCGGGGGUACACGAGUGGCGAACGGGUGAGUAACACGUGAGUAACCUGCCCACAACUUUGGGAUAACGCUAGGAAACUGGUGCUAAUACUGGAUAUGUGCUCCUGCUGCAUGGUGGGGGUUGGAAAGCUCCGGUGGUUGUGGAUGGACUCGCGGCCUAUCAGCUUGUUGGUGGGGUAGUGGCCUACCAAGGCGGCGACGGGUAGCCGGCCUGAGAGGGUGACCGGCCACAUUGGGACUGAGAUACGGCCCAGACUCCUACGGGAGGCAGCAGUGGGGAAUAUUGCACAAUGGGCGCAAGCCUGAUGCAGCAACGCCGCGUGCGGGAUGACGGCCUUCGGGUUGGAAACCGCUUUCAGCAGGGACGAAGCUUUUUGUGACGGUACCUGCAGAAGAAGCACCGGCUAACUACGUG
RNAcentral lists this ribosomal RNA (465 nucleotides) under uncultured bacterium. RNAcentral's name for it is "partial 16S ribosomal RNA". It matches the Rfam family "Bacterial small subunit ribosomal RNA", at positions 28 to 507 of the family's 1533-position model. The record is from RNAcentral.